UAAAAUAUUCCCAAAUAAAUCCAAAAUUAAAAUAUUUUAUUUCCGAUUUACUAACAUUUUUUUUUUUGAAAAGAUUUUUUCGGACAUUUUUUUGGUUGAAAAUAAAUUUUUGGUUGAAAAAUCCAAUAUUUUGAUAGAAAAUAACGCAAAAAAUAACCAACAAAAUAUUACAUAUGGUUAAAAUCGAUUUUGAGGCGUUUUAUAUAUUAUUUGGUUGCAAUAAAUUUUUUUACGCAAAUUUACCUAAAAACCGAAACGAAUAUAUUAUACCAAACCGAGGUAAUUUUAACCGAUAUCCAAACCCGAUCCGAGGCAAAAUAAAAUUAGUAAAAUAGGCUAUUUCCGGUUACCAUCCAUAAUAUAAAAAAAAAAAUCCAGGUGUAAUUAAUUGGUGCUGUAUUAUAUUUUCGAUUUUAUUAUAUUUUUUAACGGAUAUAUAUUGGAUUGUUGGAAAUGCCCGAUAUUUUGCUAUAUAAAAAUAACAAAAAUAUUUAAAAACGGCACAGUUUUUAUUUUUAUAAUGUAAAAUUUACGAUUAUAUAUAUAACCAAAUACCCAUUAUUUUUAACAAAUAUAAACCCAGAAAAUUUUAAGGGAAAUUUUUUUUAUAAUAUCGACCCACAAAGUAACCAGGUAUAAUUUCCCCUGGUUUGCAAAUUAUAUAUAACCGUUUAUUUAUUUUUUUAUAUUUGUUAAAUUUUCUUUUUUUAUUAAUAGUUUUAAUACGAGAUUUUCAAAUAUUGCGAACCCUCGUAUUUUAACCCUCCAAUUUUCCUGGUAAUUUUACUAAAAUUUCUUUCGUUUUACCAAUUAUUUUUAUUAUUACCAUUACAUUUUUUAAUAUCGUUUUCCACAAAUAGCAGCAAAAUUAUCCAUUUUUUUUUAAAAAUUAAAACCACAGCAAUUUAUUAUUAUAGGUAUUAAAAAAUAAAAAAUAUAUGGGGAAAUUGUAAUGGAGCGUAUUUUAGCAAACGGGUUUCCAACUAAUUUUUUACAAAUUAGUAA
This 1005-nucleotide small RNA is filed under the name Pyricularia oryzae. RNAcentral's name for it is "Magnaporthe oryzae sRNA M_BR32_EuGene_00127891". Lineage: Eukaryota; Fungi; Ascomycota; Sordariomycetes; Magnaporthales; Pyriculariaceae. The record is from RNAcentral.